UUUUCCUACGGGGCGCAGCAGUGGGGGAUAUUGCACAAUGGGGGAAACCCUGAUGCAGCGACGCCGCGUGAGUGAAGAAGUAUUUCGGUAUGUAAAGCUCUAUCAGCAGGGAAGAAAAUGACAGUACCUGACCAAGAAGCCCCGGCUAACUACGUGCCAGCAGCCGCGGUAAUACGUAGGGGGCAAGCGUUAUCCGGAUUUGCUGGGUGUAAAGGGAGCGUAGACGGUUAUGUAAGUCUGGAGUGAAGGCCCGGGGCCCAACCCCGGGACUGCUUUGGAAACUGUGUAACUGG
Molecule: ribosomal RNA, 293 nt
Filed under: uncultured bacterium
Lineage: Bacteria
Description: partial 16S ribosomal RNA
Rfam family: Bacterial small subunit ribosomal RNA
Source: RNAcentral